RNAcentral lists this ribosomal RNA (459 nucleotides) under uncultured bacterium. RNAcentral's name for it is "partial 16S ribosomal RNA". It matches the Rfam family "Bacterial small subunit ribosomal RNA", at positions 338 to 795 of the family's 1533-position model. The record is from RNAcentral.
CCUACGGGAGGCAACAGUGAGGAAUAUUGGUCAAUGGGCGCGAGCCUGAACCAGCCAAGUCGCGUGAGGGAAGACGGUCCUAUGGAUUGUAAACCUCUUUUGUCGGGGAGCAAAAGACGCCACGCGUGGCGUUCCGAGAGUACCCGAAGAAAAAGCAUCGGCUAACUCCGUGCCAGCAGCCGCGGUAAUACGGAGGAUGCGAGCGUUAUCCGGAUUUAUUGGGUUUAAAGGGUGCACAGGCGGAAGAUCAAGUCAGCGGUAAAAUUGAGAGGCUCAACCUCUUCGAGCCGUUGAAACUGGUUGUCUUGAGUGAGCGAGAAGUAUGCGGAAUGCGUGGUGUAGCGGUGAAAUGCAUAGAUAUCACGCAGAACUCCGAUUGCGAAGGCAGCAUACCGGCGCUCAACUGACGCUCAUGCACGAAAGUGUGGGUAUCGAACAGGAUUAGAUACCCUAGUAGUC